This 488-nucleotide unclassified non-coding RNA is filed under the name Bombus terrestris (buff-tailed bumblebee). RNAcentral's name for it is "misc RNA ENSBTSG00005028994.1". The record is from RNAcentral. Lineage: Eukaryota; Metazoa; Arthropoda; Insecta; Hymenoptera; Apidae.
AAUUAGUAUUGCAACUGUUCGUUCGCCGUUGGCAGACGUCAUUAAAAAAUCGCGCCGUGUCAGCUCAUUGCGACCAGACGAAGAAUAGAUACGUAACGAGAUUUAACUUCUGUGUUUAGACGUUUUUAACGUGAUUCUUCUGUUCUUCGCCAAAUCGAGUGGCUCGUUACAUGGAUAUUCUCUUAAGAAGAAAGAAGAAGCCUUUUUUUCUAUGUAUAAUGGGUAUUAAUUAUAUAUGGUGAGAGGAAGGAGAGGGAUAAUUCCUGUGCCAUGGAAACUGCGUAUAGAUGCUUGUUACGUUAUCCGAACAGUUCGAUUCUCCGAACCACCUCGAUUGCUUCCAAUUGCUUCGGAUAAUUAACGCUUUGUCGUACAGAAUUUAAAAACUCAAAAUACCUCGAUUGUCUACAUCUGCAUGUUUCACUCGCAGAAUAACUUUACAUAACGUUUACGUAACGAUUUUAAUAUUUCAUUAUCAAAUUUUGUAG